Molecule: ribosomal RNA, 770 nt
Filed under: Escherichia coli
Lineage: Bacteria; Pseudomonadati; Pseudomonadota; Gammaproteobacteria; Enterobacterales; Enterobacteriaceae
Description: partial 23S ribosomal RNA
Rfam family: Bacterial large subunit ribosomal RNA
Source: RNAcentral
GGUUAAGCGACUAAGCGUACACGGUGGAUGCCCUGGCAGUCAGAGGCGAUGAAGGACGUGCUAAUCUGCGAUAAGCGUCGGUAAGGUGAUAUGAACCGUUAUAACCGGCGAUUUCCGAAUGGGGAAACCCAGUGUGUUUCGACACACUAUCAUUAACUGAAUCCAUAGGUUAAUGAGGCGAACCGGGGGAACUGAAACAUCUAAGUACCCCGAGGAAAAGAAAUCAACCGAGAUUCCCCCAGUAGCGGCGAGCGAACGGGGAGCAGCCCAGAGCCUGAAUCAGUGUGUGUGUUAGUGGAAGCGUCUGGAAAGGCGCGCGAUACAGGGUGACAGCCCCGUACACAAAAAUGCACAUGCUGUGAGCUCGAUGAGUAGGGCGGGACACGUGGUAUCCUGUCUGAAUAUGGGGGGACCAUCCUCCAAGGCUAAAUACUCCUGACUGACCGAUAGUGAACCAGUACCGUGAGGGAAAGGCGAAAAGAACCCCGGCGAGGGGAGUGAAAAAGAACCUGAAACCGUGUACGUACAAGCAGUGGGAGCCUCUUUAUGGGGUGACUGCGUACCUUUUGUAUAAUGGGUCAGCGACUUAUAUUCUGUAGCAAGGUUAACCGAAUAGGGGAGCCGAAGGGAAACCGAGUCUUAACUGGGCGUUAAGUUGCAGGGUAUAGACCCGAAACCCGGUGAUCUAGCCAUGGGCAGGUUGAAGGUUGGGUAACACUAACUGGAGGACCGAACCGACUAAUGUUGAAAAAUUAGCGGAUGACUUGUGG